This 492-nucleotide ribosomal RNA is filed under the name uncultured bacterium. RNAcentral's name for it is "partial 16S ribosomal RNA". It matches the Rfam family "Bacterial small subunit ribosomal RNA", at positions 29 to 507 of the family's 1533-position model. The record is from RNAcentral.
AGUGAACGCUGGCGGUAGGCCUAACACAUGCCAGUCGAACGGCAGCACAGUAAGAGCUUGCUCUUACGGGUGGCGAGUGGCGGACGGGUGAGGAAUACAUCGGAAUCUACUUUUUCGUGGGGGAUAACGUAGGGAAACUUACGCUAAUACCGCAUACGACCUACGUGUGAAAGCAGGGGAUCUUCGGACCUUGCGCGAUUGAAUGAGCCGAUGUCGGAUUAGCUAGUUGGCGGGGUAAAGGCCCACCAAGGCGACGAUCCGUAGCUGGUCUGAGAGGAUGAUCAGCCACACUGGAACUGAGACACGGUCCAGACUCCUACGGGAGGCAGCAGUGGGGAAUAUUGGACAAUGGGCGCAAGCCUGAUCCAGCCAUACCGAGUGGGUGAAGAAGGCCUUCGGGUUGUAAAGCCCUUUUGUUGGGAAAGAAAAGCAGCAGGUUAAUACCCCGCUGUUCUGACGGUACCCAAAGAAUAAGCACCGGCUAACUUCGUG